Molecule: ribosomal RNA, 374 nt
Filed under: uncultured organism
Description: bacterial SSU rRNA
Rfam family: Bacterial small subunit ribosomal RNA
Source: RNAcentral
CUAGGGACCGAGCGUUGUCCGGAUUCAUUUGGGCGUUAAAGAGCUCGUAGGCGGCUGCUCAAGUCGAAUGUGAAAACUCGAGGCUCAACCUCGAGCCUGCAUUCGAUACUGGGCGGCUAGAGUCUGGUAGGGGGAUCUGGAAUUCCUGGUGUAGCGGUGGAAUGCGCAGAUAUCAGGAGGAACACCGGUGGCGAAGGCGGGAUCCUGGGCCAGUACUGACGCUGAGGAGCGAAAGCGUGGGGAGCAAACAGGAUUAGAUACCCUGGUAGUCCACGCCGUAAACGAUGGGCGCUAGGUGUGGGAGGUCAUCGACUCCUUCCGUGCCGCAGCUAACGCAUUAAGCGCCCCGCCUGGGGAGUACGGCCGCAAGGCUA